GAUGAUUAACAUACAUUUCCUCAUCUAGAAGAACAUAUAGCUUGGAAACAACUGAAAAAUUAAAGUAAUUCUUAAGAGUUCCUAGAAGACUCAUUAAGAAAUGGCAGACUUUGACUUCAGCGAAUUACUUUUACAAUAAAAUCAGGGCAAUAUACUGCUCCUUGCUUUGUUGCUGUUGGCACACCUGGGAAAAUAUCCUGUCCCCUCUGGCUUAGAAAAAAUGAUGUGUGCAAGGCAUCACGAUGCCACAUCUCCUGUAUGACUGCAAAAAGUG
This 274-nucleotide long non-coding RNA is filed under the name Dromaius novaehollandiae (emu). RNAcentral's name for it is "lncRNA (ENSDNVG00000018508.1)". The record is from RNAcentral. Lineage: Eukaryota; Metazoa; Chordata; Aves; Casuariiformes; Dromaiidae.